UAGUGGCAAACGGGUGAAUAACACGUGGGUAACCUACCUCUAAGUUGGGGAUAACAGUUGGAAACGACUGAUAAUACCGAAUAAGCUCUACGGAGUAAAGAAGCCAUCAAGCUUCGCUAAGAGAUGGGCCUGCGGCGUAUUAGCUAGUUGGUGGGGUAAGAGCCUACCAAGGCGACGAUGCGUAGCCGAACUGAGAGGUUGAUCGGCCACACUGGGACUGAGACACGGCCCAGACUCCUACGGGAGACAGCAGUUAGGAAUAUUCGUCAAUGGGGGAAACCCUGAACGAGCAAUGCCGCGUGAAUGAAGAAGGCCCUAUGGGUUGUAAAAUUCUGUUGUAUGGAAAGAAAUGUAAAGUUAGGAAAUGAACUUUACUUGACGGUACCAUUCAAGAAAGUCACGGCUAACUACGUGCCAGCAGCCGCGGUAAUACGUAGGUGGCGAGCGUUAUCCGGAUUUAUUGGGCGUAAAGGGUGCGUAGGCGGUAUGUUAAGUAUAAAAUAAAAGCCCGAAGCUUAACUUCGGUUCGUUUUAUAAACUGGCAAACUAGAGAACAGAAGAGGACGGCGGAACUCCAUGUGUAGCGGUAAAAUGCGUAGAUAUAUGGAAGAACACCAGUGGCGAAGGCGGCCGUCUGGUCUGUUGCUGACACUGAAGCACGAAAGCGUGGGGAGCAAAUAGGAUUAGAUACCCUAGUAGUCCACGCCGUAAACGAUGAGAACUAGGUGUUGGGGGAAUAACUCAGUGCCGCAGUUAACGCAAUAAGUUCUCCGCCUGGGGAGUAUGCACGCAAGUGUGAAACUCAAAGGAAUUGACGGGGGCCCGCACAAGCGGUGGAGUAUGUGGUUUAAUUCGAAGCAACGCGAAGAACCUUACCAGGCCUUGACAUCCCUUGCAGAGGUAUAGAGAUAUAUCCGAGGUUAUCAAGGAGACAGGUGGUGCAUGGUUGUCGUCAGCUCGUGUCGUGAGAUGUUGGGUUAAGUCCCGCAACGAGCGCAACCCUUGUGAUAUGUUACUAACAUUGAGUUGAGGACUCAUAUCAGACUGCCGGUGAUAAACCGGAGGAAGGUGGGGAUGACGUCAAAUCAUCAUGCCCCUUAUGGCCUGGGCUACACACGUACUACAAUGGCGUCUACAAAGAGCGGCAAGCCUGUGAAGGCAAGCGAAUCUCAUAAAGGACGUCUCAGUUCGGAUUGAAGUCUGCAACCCGACUUCAUGAAGCUGGAAUCGCUAGUAAUCGCGAAUCAGCAUGUCGCGGUGAAUACGUUCUCGGGCCUUGCACACACCGCCCGUCAA
Molecule: ribosomal RNA, 1296 nt
Filed under: uncultured bacterium
Lineage: Bacteria
Description: bacterial SSU rRNA
Rfam family: Bacterial small subunit ribosomal RNA
Source: RNAcentral